Molecule: ribosomal RNA, 392 nt
Filed under: uncultured bacterium
Lineage: Bacteria
Description: partial 16S ribosomal RNA
Rfam family: Bacterial small subunit ribosomal RNA
Source: RNAcentral
AUACGGAGGAUCCGAGCGUUAUCCGGAUUUAUUGGGUUUAAAGGGUGCGCAGGCGGCCAUUUAAGUCAGCGGUUAAAUCGUGGGGCUCAACCCCAUUCUGCCGUUGAUACUGGGUGGCUUGAUUGCGGUCGAGGUUGGCGGAAUUCGUUGUGUAGCGGUGAAAUGCAUAGAUAUGACGUAGAACACCGAUUGCGUAGGCAGCUGACCAGACCGCAAAUGACGCUCAUGCACGAAAGUGCGGGGAUCGAACAGGAUUAGAUACCCUGGUAGUCCGCACAGUAAACGAUGAAUACUUGUUUUCGGCGAUAUAAUGUCGGAGGCAAAGCGAAAGCGAUAAGUAUUCCACCUGGGGAGUACGCCGGCAACGGUGAAACUUAAAGGAAUUGACGGGG